UCAUGAGGUACCAAGAGUAUUUGGAGGAGCCGGUUUCUAAUAGUGAGGCCUGUAACUCAAACCCUUAUAACAAUAUGCCAUGUUUUAAUAUAGAAUUGUGCAAGCCUUCUUGUAUUUAUGCCUGAAGGUCUGCGACAUUUCAUUUCUUUUAGUUAAUAAAGUCUGUAAGUGGUGCAACUUACAGCAGUGUGCAAGGCAGCCCCUCCUUCUUCAUUUUACCUAUUUUUGGUCCCAUCCACCUGCAAUAAAGAUGACUCAGAUGUGCACAAAUUGUUCUUUUGCUUUAUUCUGCUGAGGCCUGUGCAUAAGAUGAAAGUAUAAACAAGGACAGAGCUCUGUUUUUACAGUCAUCCCCAAAUGAAAUGCCUGUUAUCUUGAAAUGCAUUUCAAACAGUCCCUAAUCUGAAGCAUGAAGUCGUUUCCUUGGUUACUAAGAGAGAGAAUCCUCUGUGGCCGCCGCGGGUCUGUUUGUCUUCAUGCUGGCCUCGUGGCACAUCAUUAGCACGUUUGCCUUUGCGAUCAUGGGGUUUUGUGUUCAAAUCAUGUUGAGGUCACGUCUUUGAUCAGAGUGGGUUUGUGAUUAGGAGGUCUGUCCUUCAGCCAGUACACCGUGUCCAGUAGCUGCCUUGCUGAAGUGCCCUUGAGCAAGACACUGACUCCUUAUCAGCCCCAAGGCUGCUGCUCUGUGACCAUGUGACUCCUUUCUGUAGGAGGGUGGGCGAGCUGAAAGAUGAGUCUCUCCUUCAGAGAAAUUGUUGAUCUACAAAGAUCAGUCGCAUGUACAAAAAAUUGUUAUAAGUUUUGAAAUUUGUAAUAUAGCUCAUAUUAGCAUUAUAAGCAUUAUAGGUUGAAUAUAUCCUUUACUUUCAACCAGUCAAUUUGCUGAGGGCUGACACCUAAAAGCAUGUGAAAGAAAAGAUGUACAAUGAGCCCUUUUGCAAAACCAAAACACCCCAAAGUAUUAAUUUUAGAAUGACAAUAAAAAUAAAGAUAGCAAAUCUUAGUGAUCCUCGUACAGCUGUAAUCAGCAAAUAUUUGGGAUUUUUACUUGAUAAAUAACUAAAACAGUUAUUGCAAUUAUAAUUUAUGCAUUUUUCUGUCAGUCUACUAAUUGACUAAUUGUUUUAGGACUAAAACAUAAGUAAAUAAGCCACAGCAUUCUGUACAUCUCCAGUUUCAUGUUCUGUGGAGGCUGCGACUGCAAAUUGCACUUUGGAAACUAAUAACUAAUAAGCAUUGGAGCGUGCCAUCAGCAGAGCAAAGCCACCUUAAUUGCUCUGUCUGGCUACUCUGAGGCCAUUUAUCAGGACUGGAAGUGGAGCCCUUGUCCUGGACCAGACCUGCUUUUUACACGGCAGGUGCCUGUCUGCCAUCAAACAUGAUCAGUCUGUACAGCCUCUAUACCUCACUGGUGAAUGAUGAGCAUCCCGGGCCUUGGAGGGCUUGUUUAAGGCCAUGUAACAUGCAUCACACAGGAUGUCACACACUCUCCUGCGACAUCCCAUCUGCUUCUGCAGCUCGUCAAUCCUGGCAUCACACCAACACGUCUUUGAUCUUCCGUGUCCUCCAUGUUGUCGUAGGCAGAUAUUGCUGUGACCAGCUCAGAGUGGCUAACAGUGAUGAAGGUCAGCAUAGUUUUCAGGGCAUCCAGCGUCUCAUCUGCUUCCAAAACAUUGAGUGUUUGUGACAACCUGUGCAGAUGAGCUCUCAGCCAGGAGGGACCCUCAGUAGAGACAUCAUCAAUCUCACAUCAGUGUGUUUCUUGGCUUGAUUGCAAUGAAAGCAAUAAAGCUUCUCUUCCUUUUAGAUAUACUCUCAGACACUCUUAUACUGUUUUCAGUUCGUGAUGUUAGGGUUAGGGUUAGUGCAUUCUACAAAGUAUUUUGCAACCAAGUGUGGUAAUUUUCUUUGAUGUGUUAACUUCCCCUCAGAAUUCAGCCGCGGCAUUGCAUCAUGGUCUGUUGAGGCUGCUGUCAUUGGGGGAAUCGGUGUCUCUUCUUGUGUGAUGAGUUUCGUCCUGUAUGACUGUUGAAAAUUAAUGUAAAAUGGACUAGAGAGGAGAGGUUGCUAUUUGAUUCCAGGGGCCUAGGGAUUUUAAUUGUGAUAUUUUGGAUAAGUGAUGUUUUUCUGCUGUUAAACUCUUUUGUAGCUGCUCUUAAAAUACUUAUACUAAACAAAUAACUUUUUUUCCAGACCCCACUGCAUUGAGCUAGUUUCCCAGGAGAGAGGAUAUGGAUUCUGACUGCCCCCAAGCCUUUCACUACAUGUUAGUGUUGGCUCAUGCGCUCCACAUUCACCUUGUCUCUUCAUGCUCCAUCAGGUCCUCAUUCAUCUGACCGGAAGAUGUUUUUAGCUGCAACCAGCAGCUUGUAUAAGUCACUUGUUUAAGCUUGCAUAAGUUUGGUUAGUCUGCCAGUCCCAAAAUU
Molecule: long non-coding RNA, 2426 nt
Organism: Myripristis murdjan (pinecone soldierfish)
Lineage: Eukaryota; Metazoa; Chordata; Actinopteri; Holocentriformes; Holocentridae
Exons: 2
Source: RefSeq, a predicted model, not a curated record